GUGAUCGGAGGUGUGACUGGUCUUGGAUAUUCUGCUGGUUUAUACCUGGGCAUUCUGCUGAAGGAUACACCAGCUUGUCCUUGUUGGAGGGGAAAUCUGAAAUCAGAAAGGAUAAGUGACUCAUCCAAGUUCAACAGCAGGACAUGAAGU
Long non-coding RNA from Choloepus didactylus (southern two-toed sloth), 150 nucleotides. RefSeq lists it as uncharacterized. The transcript is spliced from 3 exons. The record is from RefSeq and is a predicted model, not a curated record. NCBI's taxonomy places the organism in Eukaryota, Metazoa, Chordata, Mammalia, Pilosa, Megalonychidae.